UGAGCCGAGAUAGCGCCACUGCACUCCAGCCCGGGCGACAGAGCGAGACUCCAUCUAAAAAAAAAAAAAAAAAAACAACAACUGGCCCCUGUUCCUUGUUGGUUAAAAGUUCCUUCCAGGGACCAUUACCUCCUCUCACUUCCAAGCUGUGCGUGCAUGCCAAACAUUCUGCCGAGAUGUUCACAGAGAAGCUUGGGGAAAGAAAGUAGGAAACCGAAACCAAAGGUGCAGAGCUGAGGUGAAAGACGGUUUAGAUGCUCCGAUGUGAUGACUGAGCAGAACUGAUGAGGCUGAAAAAACUGAAGUAGUGCACAACAGAAUGCUUUUGACAUCCUGCUGCAAAAGAAGAGGAAAGUUCUGAAGUGUCCUGAUUCAAAGGUCCUGGUCCAUGGUUUCUCCUUCCACCAGGACAACCUGUUCCAGUGUGGAGGCAGGGGUCCGGACAACAGCCCUGACACUGACGUGGGAUGCCCAUUGUUUGCAGAUCCUGUUCCCAAGUUUCUUCAUGGGGAAGAGCUGAUCAUAAUUUUAUCUGAUCAUAGUUCAGGCUGAGCUAGGGCACACAGACAUCAUGGUUUGGAAUUUUUUUGUAUAUCCUCCAUAAUGUGUACAUUGCCUUAUACAUAGUGCAUGCUCAUGACUCAAAAAUAACUCACUGAAUUAACAAAUGAAUGAACAAUCUAAUCAUCACAUAAAGCAGGAAGGGCUGCCCUUUUGUCCAGAAUUGUGAAACUGCGGGCUUCCAGGGAUGUGGGAGUGCUGUCUUGCCCUGCCUCCUAUCUUUCUAACUUUAGCCACCACUUUAGAGGUAGCAUUUAGCUCCAGUGACACGAAUCUACCAAUGAGGCUUACACUUUGCAUAAACUCUGCUCUACUGCCAAAAACUUAAAGCUGAAUUAAAACAAUGAAAUAUCCAUCAGCCAGUGUUUGUCAGGCACUAACUGUAUAUGUGUGCAACACUCUUGUGAAACUUACAGAAUUUACAAAUAAAAUGCAGCACACCAUUCUUGCUCUUCGAGAACUUUAAAUCUUUUCAGGACUAAUAUGAAAAUAUUCACAGACAAAAAAUGCAAAACUUUAUAAAUAACACAAUAUUGAAUUGAGUGGUUCAGAAAAUAAGGAGGUGCUGAGUUUAGAGAAGUUGAUUGAGCUGAA
RNAcentral lists this long non-coding RNA (1155 nucleotides) under Homo sapiens (human). RNAcentral describes it as "HSALNT0173780". The record is from RNAcentral. Lineage: Eukaryota; Metazoa; Chordata; Mammalia; Primates; Hominidae.